This is a long non-coding RNA of Alosa alosa (allis shad), 908 nucleotides long. RefSeq lists it as uncharacterized. The record is from RefSeq and is a predicted model, not a curated record. The transcript has 9 exons. Lineage: Eukaryota; Metazoa; Chordata; Actinopteri; Clupeiformes; Clupeidae.
UCUUUCAAGUAGAAGUUUGCAAAAUGUAUAGCUUCAUUACAACCGUUAGCUCAUGGAGUGAAAGUAAUGCUUGAAAGACAAUAUUGUCUGACCAAUGCAACUAAUCUAUUCUAUUGGUCCCUAGUGCUGAGUGCCAGUGAAGCCAUAGGCCUACAGUUUCCAGGGCUUGAGUUAUUAAUAUCUGACUGCCUUGAAACAAAAUGUGGUGUACGGAUGAGGUCCUGCCUGAGGACUAAUGAGUGGGAACUUACAGCCAAUGCCAAAGAUUUUAUUCUGGCUGACUCCUUCUGACUCCUUCCUGCUCUGCUGGCUUAACGCAGACAUUAACAAUGGGACUAAACUCAUUGACUGUGUAAUUGAUGAUGGCUUGAAGAAAAUGGAACCUUUUAUCAAUCUAAUUGGCUCUACCCUGUUUAGUGAUCCAGCCUAUAUGGCAUGCUGGAUUGUUCACGUCGGGAAAGUGUUGGCUUCAUAUAUUGACACUGAUAAGUACAGCGACCUCAUUAACCAAAUAGGCAACUGAAGCAAAAAGGAAACCCUAUGAAUACAUAACGUGUUAUUCAAGGGUAAAUAUGGAUGACUGCAUUAACAUGUGGAAUCGAAUUUUGGAUAAACCAUCAUGGGUGAAACAACAGUGCAAAGAUAUCCUUGUUACCUUUAUCCAUGAUGUCAUAUCAGCUUCAGUUAAAUGUCAGAAGUCCUGAGAAGAAAAGUCACUGUAAAAGGAAUAUGCUCACUCUCUUCACACACACACACACACACACACACACACACACACACACACACACAUAAUUCAGCUAGAAUGGGACAUUUUUCUAUGUAGCAUUGCCAUGUUUAUAAGCCACAGUAAACGUAGUCACACACUGUAAACAAAAUCCAAAUUAAAUUGACCAAGAUUCCGUUUAUAA